Molecule: long non-coding RNA, 861 nt
Organism: Pseudoliparis swirei
Lineage: Eukaryota; Metazoa; Chordata; Actinopteri; Perciformes; Liparidae
Exons: 6
Source: RefSeq, a predicted model, not a curated record
AUACCAUCUAUAGAGUUGGUAUUUCCCGGACCUAUAAAGCGGUGGUCACGGACCUUGGGAACUAUUUUGGCAGAUAUCCAUGGAGAGAGAAGACCUGUUCCAGAGAUCCAUGGGAGGAAGACACCUGAACCAGAUAAGUAGUUGCAAUACACACACACACACACACACACACACACACACACACACACACACACACACACACACACACUGUAUGUUUGCAGCCACAUGGGGAAAAAACUUGCAUUUUCUAAUUCUUGGCAUUCCCGUUGGAGUACCCAUGGGCUCAGACAUACACUCUUCAACCAUACAUCCAUACACAAGUUCCUUUACCCCACCACUCACACACCAUCUAUAUUCUAUGUCCCUGCAUCACAGACGGUGUGCAGCUGUUGGUCUGGAACUCGCCGAUGGACGUCGAGCUGACUCAACGUGGCGGUGAGAGGACGGAGGAGUGCGUCGAGACUCCGCGGGACAAAGGUGCAGACCAAGGAGGUGGAGUAGCAGCCAUCUUUGACUGGAGCCUUUUAAUAAAUCCUAAACCUUAUUUGUCUCACACCCAACCUGGGAACCAGUUUUGUAGCUCAGGCCCACGUGUUACUCUUUUCUCAGGCUGUUGGAGUGAAAUACAGAGAUGGACAAAAAUACCUGUUUGGAGGGCCAAGUUACCUACACAUGGUUUUUGGAAUGUGCUUCCAAGAAGUUCAGCAUCCUAGAUGUGCCUCGCACAAGGUCCAAAUGGUAAGUUUGUUAGUGUCAUUAAUUGUUUUCUUUUUGUUGCAGGUCAUCCAGUUUGAUCCUACCACCUCAUGAGACCAGGAAAGCUAUCUGCCAGUGAAGUUCAUCAAGAUGGGGACCAGCAUC